RNAcentral lists this ribosomal RNA (493 nucleotides) under uncultured bacterium. RNAcentral describes it as "bacterial SSU rRNA". It matches the Rfam family "Bacterial small subunit ribosomal RNA", at positions 29 to 518 of the family's 1533-position model. The record is from RNAcentral.
AUGAACGCUAGCGACAGGCCUAACACAUGCAAGUCGAGGGGCAGCACAAGGAGCAAUCUGAGGUGGCGACCGGCGCACGGGUGAGUAACACGUAUGCAACCUGCCUGUAAGCGGGGAAUAACCCGUUGAAAGACGGACUAAUACCGCAUAAUACUAAAUUACUGCAUGGUAAUUUAUUUAAACAUUUAUGGCUUACAGAUGGGCAUGCGCAUGAUUAGCUAGUUGGAGAGGUAACGGCUCCCCAAGGCAACGAUCAUUAGGGGUUCUGAGAGGAAGGUCCCCACACUGGUACUGAGACACGGACCAGACUCCUACGGGAGGCAGCAGUGAGGAAUAUUGGUCAAUGGACGAGAGUCUGAACCAGCCAAGUCGCGUGCAGGAAGAAUGUCCUAUGGAUUGUAAACUGCUUUUGCAGGGGAAUAAAGUGCAUCACGUGUGAUGUUCUGUAUGUACUCUGCGAAUAAGGAUCGGCUAACUCCGUGCCAGCAGCCGC